AGCGGCGGACGGGUGAGUAACGCGUGGGUAACCUGGCCUCAUACAGGGGGAUAACAGUUGGAAACGGCUGCUAAUACCGCAUAAGCGCACAGUACCGCAUGGUACCGUGUGAAAAACUCCGGUGGUAUGAGAUGGACCCGCGUCUGAUUAGCUAGUUGGUGGGGUAACGGCCUACCAAGGCGACGAUCAGUAGCCGGCCUGAGAGGGUGAACGGCCACAUUGGGACUGAGACACGGCCCAA
RNAcentral lists this ribosomal RNA (241 nucleotides) under uncultured bacterium. RNAcentral describes it as "partial 16S ribosomal RNA". It matches the Rfam family "Bacterial small subunit ribosomal RNA", at positions 94 to 334 of the family's 1533-position model. The record is from RNAcentral.